CCUACGGGUGGCAGCAGUGAGGAAUAUUGGUCAAUGGACGAGAGUCUGAACCAGCCAAGUAGCGUGAAGGAUGACUGCCCUAUGGGUUGUAAACUUCUUUUAUAUGGGAAUAAAAUCUUCCACGUGUGUCAUUCUGUAUGUACCAUAUGAAUAAGGAUCGGCUAACUCCGUGCCAGCAGCCGCGGUAAUACGGAGGAUCCGAGCGUUAUCCGGAUUUAUUGGGUUUAAAGGGAGCGUAGGUGGAUUGUUAAGUCAGUUGUGAAAGUUUGCGGCUCAACCGUAGAAUUGCAGUUGAAACUGGUAGUCUUGAGUACAGUAGAGGUGGGCGGAAUGCGUGGUGUAGCGGUGAAAUGCUUAGAUAUCACGAAGAACUCCGAUUGCGAAGGCAGCUUACUGGACUGCAACUGACACUGAGGCACGAAAGUGUGGGGAGCAAACAGGAUUAGAUACCCUUGUAGUC
RNAcentral lists this ribosomal RNA (460 nucleotides) under uncultured bacterium. RNAcentral describes it as "partial 16S ribosomal RNA". It matches the Rfam family "Bacterial small subunit ribosomal RNA", at positions 338 to 795 of the family's 1533-position model. The record is from RNAcentral.